GCUUCCUUAGCUCAGUUGGGAGAGCGUUAGACUGAAGAUCUAAAGGUCUCGUGUUCAAUCCACGAAGGGAGCA
Transfer RNA from Spizellomyces punctatus DAOM BR117, 73 nucleotides. It matches the Rfam family "tRNA". Rfam says of the family: Transfer RNA (tRNA) molecules are approximately 80 nucleotides in length. Their secondary structure includes four short double-helical elements and three loops (D, anti-codon, and T loops). Lineage: Eukaryota; Fungi; Chytridiomycota; Chytridiomycetes; Spizellomycetales; Spizellomycetaceae. The record is from Rfam.